Molecule: long non-coding RNA, 228 nt
Filed under: Mytilus galloprovincialis (Mediterranean mussel)
Lineage: Eukaryota; Metazoa; Mollusca; Bivalvia; Mytilida; Mytilidae
Source: RNAcentral
GAGACCAAAUGACACAGAAAUCAACAACACUAGGUCACUGUACGGCCUUCAACAAUGAACAAAGCCCAUACCGCAUAGUCAGCGAUUAAGCCCCCGAGAUCACAAAUGUUAAACAAGUUAAAACGAGAAAACCAACGUUCUUAUUUAUGUACAAAAAAGAAAAACAAAUAUGUAACAAAGCAACAAAUGACAACCACUGAAUUACAGGCUCCUGACUUGAAACCGGCA